Molecule: ribosomal RNA, 467 nt
Filed under: uncultured bacterium
Lineage: Bacteria
Description: partial 16S ribosomal RNA
Rfam family: Bacterial small subunit ribosomal RNA
Source: RNAcentral
ACGAACGCUGGCGGCGUGCUUAACACAUGCAAGUCGAACGGAAAGGCCCUGCUUUUGUGUGGUGCUCGAGUUGCGAACGCGUGAGUAACACGUUAUUUACCUUCCCUUUACUUUUGGUUAACUUCAUGAAACUUGGGCUAAUACCGGAUAGGAGCUCCUUCUUCAUGGUGGGGGUUGGAAAGUUUCGGCGGUUGGGGAUGGACUCGCGGCUUAUCAGCUUGUUGGUGGGGUAGUGGCUUACCAAGGCUUUGACGGGUAGCCGGCCUGAGAGGGUGACCGGCCACAUUGGGACUGAGAUACGGCCCAGACUCCUACGGGAGGCAGCAGUGGGGAAUAUUGCACAAUGGGCGGAAGCCUGAUGCAGCAACGCCGCGUGCGGGAUGACGGCCUUCGGGUUGUAAACCGCUUUCGCCUGUGACGAAGCGUGAGUGACGGUAAUGGGUAAAGAAGCACCGGCUAACUACGUG